GGAGAAGAAGCCGCGUUCGGGCUCGCCCCGGGCUCCCGGCCCCGGCCCGCGGAGCGCCGCGAUCGGCUGGCAGAUGACGAUUCGCCGAGCUCGCCGCCUGUCCUCCCGGAGGCGCUCGGAGCUGCUGCGGGCUCCGGUCGCCGCUGCCACUGCUGCUGCCGCCGCCGCCGCGCGGGGUCACCUGAAGGUUGGGGCGCGGAAGCUCAACUCCGUGCUGAUUGGGCUCCAAGUUUUCUGCGCCCUCGCCUCGUCCCGAGUGCCCGCGAAUCCCCCGGACGCCCACGCAGACCACCCAGCCACACCACAACUCUGCCUGCGGAGAGAGGAGAGGAGAAAAAGGGGCCGCUUCAAAAACUUUCAAAACUGUGCAGUCGCUUGGCUGGAUCCUCCCACGCAUGAAGAAAGCUGGGGACUGGGGAAUUGCUGGGUGGAUCAUGACACUGAACAGAAGCAGUAACCUGUGCUUACUUCAACCCAGAUUCAGAGGGACAGCGAACUGGUAUGAGGGGCUAGGAGACCUUUAGGCAUGAGCACAUUACUACCUGGAGACCCGUUUAGCCCCUGCCUGUAUUUGCAAAUAGUUUUAUUGGAAAACCUCCAUGCCCAUGGCUUUGUAUUAUCAGUGACUGCAUAUGGCUGUAUGAUCUAGGGCUGCAAGGGCAGAAUUGAGUAGUGAUGACAGAGGUGGCAUAGCCCACAGGGCCUAAAAUAUUUACCAUUUGAAACUUUCCAGGAAAAGUUUGCAUACUGCUCUUAAAUAAGCAAGAGGCCAUUAGCUUGAGGCUGUCUCUGUACGUUGAGUUCCCACCUAACAAUGGAAACCUACAUUAGGCUGUAAUGAACAGGGGGCUACUGGCCAAUCAUGGGCAACCAACUCAUUAUACCAGGCCCCACAAGGCAGCCUGCAUAGCUAUAGCCAAUCAGUUUCUCCACUGUGCUUCUGAGUUUGGCCUAUCAGGCUUUGCUGCUCACACCAUGGGGUGGACCUCACUGGACCUCCUCUGGUUGUGAGUGCUGCCCAAUUCAUGAACCCUUUGCUCGAAUAAACUGUGCUAAAUUUAAUUUGUCUGAUGUUUUUCUUUUAACACUGCUAUGGGCUGAAUGUUUGUGUCUCUACAAAAUUCAUAUGUUGAAACCCAAAUCCCCAAUCUAAUGUGGUGGUAUCUGGAGGUGGGGCCUUUCAUACCUGAUUAGUUCAUGGGGUGGAGGCUUCCUGGUGGAAUUAGUUCCCUCAUAAGAGCAGGCAGCGGGGAAUUUGCCUCCUCUCUCUCUGCUCUGUGCAGUGUAAAGACACAGCACGAGGGCAGCUUUCUGCCAAGCAGGAAGAGGACCCUCACCAGAACCUGACCAUGCUGGCACACUGAUCUUGGGUUUCUU
RNAcentral lists this long non-coding RNA (1377 nucleotides) under Homo sapiens (human). RNAcentral describes it as "non-protein coding lnc-STAM-5:1". The record is from RNAcentral. Lineage: Eukaryota; Metazoa; Chordata; Mammalia; Primates; Hominidae.